RNAcentral lists this non-coding RNA (1028 nucleotides) under Pongo abelii (Sumatran orangutan). Lineage: Eukaryota; Metazoa; Chordata; Mammalia; Primates; Hominidae. The record is from RNAcentral.
AAGAAAGUCACUAUGUGCAGUUAUGGCCCACUUCCUUGAAGCUGGAGUAUCUGAUUUUUCUGCACAGAGUAUGAAUGACGGAUAACAGAACAAGAGACUGGGAACAUGGAGGCCAAGGGGGAACUCCUCAGGAGCUGCAACUGACACACAAAGGAAAUUUUAAGCAAGGCAGUGGAAAUGAACAAGGCAAUUUACUUCUAUAGAAGGGUGCGCCAUCACAGAUGGAGCAAUGAAUGUGAAUUCGAAUUGUUGCAGAAUGUCAAAGGAGAACUCUUCCUGCUGUCUCAGAAUUUCAGCUGGAGCUACAGAGAUCAAAGAGAGGAUGUUAAAUACCCACUAAUUUGAAAACGAGUUGCCAGGCCAGCUCUGCAGAACAUGCUAAGGGGUAACACCAAAAGACAGAUAAGCAUUUGUCUAUGACGUGCCUCAAGCCAAUACAAGGAGAAAAAAGAAGAGCAAUAAAGGAAAGACCAUGAGGAUGGGUUUCUGUGAGAAGAGCUGUAGAUUUCUCCUUUCUUCUCCAUACCUUGAGCCAAGUUGGGAGGUUGUAAAAAUCCUCUGACAGAGCUUGGGUGUGCUUCCUGCCAGGAGGAAGACUAACCUGGAGCAAGCGGGUGGGGAGAGACCUUCAGAGAAUUUGGACUCCCUACAGUCGGGGGCACAGGGUUUUGUGUUGACUUGGACUUGUAGAAGUCCGAUGCCCGCCAGGCGCGGUGGCUCACGCCUGUAAUCCUAGCACUUUGGGAGGCUGAGGCGGGUGGAUCAGGAGAUCGAGACCAUCCUGGCUAACACCGUGAAACCCUGUCUCUACUAAAAAAAAUACAAACAAUUAGCCAGGCGUGGUGGCGGCGCCUGUAGUCCCAGUUACUCGGGAGGCUGAGGCAGGAGAAUGGCGUGAACCCGGGAGGCGGAGCUUGUAGUGAGCCGAGAUUGCGCCACUGCACUCCAGCCUGGGCAACAGAGCGAGACUCUGUCAAAAAAAAGAAAAAAGAAAAAAAGAAAGAAAGAAAGAAAAAAAGUCCGAUGCC